CCCUUAGACGUUCUGGGCCGCACGCGCGCUACACUGACGGAGCCAACGAGUACUAUCCUUGGCCGAGAGGUCCGGGUAAUCUUGUGAAACUCCGUCGUGCUGGGGAUAGAGCAUUGCAAUUAUUGCUCUUCAACGAGGAAUUCCUAGUAAGCGCAAGUCAUCAGCUUGCGUUGAUUACGUCCCUGCCCUUUGUACACACCGCCCGUCGCUAGUACCGAUUGAAUGGCUUAGUGAGGCUUCAGGAUUGGUUCAGAGAAGGGGGCAACUCCAUCUUGGAACCGAGAAGUUAGUCAAACUUGGUCAUUUAGAGGAACUAAAAGUCGUAACA
Molecule: ribosomal RNA, 328 nt
Filed under: uncultured eukaryote
Lineage: Eukaryota
Description: partial 18S ribosomal RNA
Rfam family: Eukaryotic small subunit ribosomal RNA
Source: RNAcentral